AUAAAUAAGCGGAGGAAAAGAAACCAACAGGGAUUCCCUGAGUAACGGCGAGCGAAAAGGGAAGAGCCCAGCGCCGAAUCCCGAGCCCUUUGGGUUUCUGGGAAAUGUGGCGUUUAGGAGCGAGCGUGCCGGAGGUUGACUCUGCAGCAAGUCCCCCUGACCGGGGCUUUUAUCCAGAGCGGGUGCGAGGCCCAUAGCUGCUAGGUCUCCUUCGGAUGCGAACUCCUUGGAGUCGGGUUGCUUGGGAGUGCAACCCUAAUCGGGUGGUAAACUCCACCUAAGGCUAAAUACGGCCGUGAGACCGAUAGCAAACAA
RNAcentral lists this ribosomal RNA (315 nucleotides) under Theridiosomatidae sp. TSMD-001-THAI. RNAcentral describes it as "eukaryotic LSU rRNA". It matches the Rfam family "Eukaryotic large subunit ribosomal RNA", at positions 42 to 347 of the family's 3401-position model. Lineage: Eukaryota; Metazoa; Arthropoda; Arachnida; Araneae; Theridiosomatidae. The record is from RNAcentral.